CACUCCUACGGGAGGCAGCAGUGGGGAAUUUUGGACAAUGGGCGAAAGCCUGAUCCAGCAAUGCCGCGUGAGUGAAGAAGGCCUUCGGGUUGUAAAGCUCUUUUGUCAGGGAAGAAACGGUGAAAGCUAAUAUCUUUUGCUAAUGACGGUACCUGAAGAAUAAGCACCGGCUAACUACGUGCCAGCAGCCGCGGUAAUACGUAGGGUGCAAGCGUUAAUCGGAAUUACUGGGCGUAAAGCGUGCGCAGGCGGUUUUGUAAGUCUGAUGUGAAAUCCCCGGGCUCAACCUGGGAAUUGCAUUGGAGACUGCAAGGCUAGAAUCUGGCAGAGGGGGGUAGAAUUCCACGUGUAGCAGUGAAAGGCGUAGAUAUGUGGAGGAACACCGAUGGCGAAGGCAGCCCCCUGGGUCAAGAUUGACGCUCAUGCACGAAAGCGUGGGGAGCAAACAGGAUUAGAUACCCUAGUAGUCCC
RNAcentral lists this ribosomal RNA (471 nucleotides) under uncultured organism. RNAcentral describes it as "partial 16S ribosomal RNA". It matches the Rfam family "Bacterial small subunit ribosomal RNA", at positions 334 to 797 of the family's 1533-position model. The record is from RNAcentral.